This is a non-coding RNA of Triticum aestivum (bread wheat), 121 nucleotides long. Lineage: Eukaryota; Viridiplantae; Streptophyta; Magnoliopsida; Poales; Poaceae. The record is from Rfam.
UUUAUACUCCCUCCGUCCGGAAAUACUUGUCAUCAAAAUGUAUCUAGACAUAUUUUAGUUCUAGAUACAUCUCUUUUUAUCCAUUUUGAUGACAAGUAUUUUCGGACGGAGGGAGUAUAAU